AUUGAACGCUGGCGGCAGGCCUAACACAUGCAAGUCGAACGAGCGGCGGACGGGUGUGUGAUGUCUGGGAAACUGCCUGCUGGGGGGGGGUAACUCCUGGAAACGGUAGCUAAUACCGCACACCCUCAGAUGUGUCCCCGUGGGAUUAGCUAGUAGGUGGGGUAACGGCUCACCUAGGCGACGAUCCCUAGCUGGUCUGAGAGGAUGACCAGCCACACUGGAACUGAGACACGGUCCAGACUCCUACGGGAGGCAGCAGUGGGGAAUAUUGCACAAUGGGCGCAAGCCUGAUGCAGCCAUGCCGCGUGUGUGAAGAAGGCCUUCGGGUUGUAAAGCACUUUCAGCGGGGAGGCGUUACCCGCAGAAGAAGCACCGGCUAACUCCGUGCCAGCAGCCGCGGUAAUUC
RNAcentral lists this ribosomal RNA (406 nucleotides) under uncultured bacterium. RNAcentral describes it as "partial 16S ribosomal RNA". It matches the Rfam family "Bacterial small subunit ribosomal RNA", at positions 30 to 526 of the family's 1533-position model. The record is from RNAcentral.